GAUGAACGCAGGCGGCGUGCCUAAUACAUGCAAGUCGAGCGAACAGAUAAGGAGCUUGCUCCUUUGACGUUAGCGGCGGACGGGUGAGUAACACGUGGGUAACCUACCUAUAAGACUGGGAUAACUUCGGGAAACCGGAGCUAAUACCGGAUAACAUUUGGAACCGCAUGGUUCUAAAGUGAAAGAUGGUUUUGCUAUCACUUAUAGAUGGACCCGCGCCGUAUUAGCUAGUUGGUAAGGUAACGGCUUACCAAGGCAACGAUACGUAGCCGACCUGAGAGGGUGAUCGGCCACACUGGAACUGAGACACGGUCCAGACUCCUACGGGAGGCAGCAGUAGGGAAUCUUCCGCAAUGGGCGAAAGCCUGACGGAGCAACGCCGCGUGAGUGAUGAAGGGUUUCGGCUCGUAAAACUCUGUUAUUAGGGAAGAACAAACGUGUAAGUAACUGUGCACGUCUUGACGGUACCUAAUCAGAAAGCCACGGCUAACUACGUG
RNAcentral lists this ribosomal RNA (497 nucleotides) under uncultured bacterium. Its description in RNAcentral is "partial 16S ribosomal RNA". It matches the Rfam family "Bacterial small subunit ribosomal RNA", at positions 28 to 507 of the family's 1533-position model. The record is from RNAcentral.